RNAcentral lists this non-coding RNA (29 nucleotides) under Homo sapiens (human). Lineage: Eukaryota; Metazoa; Chordata; Mammalia; Primates; Hominidae. The record is from RNAcentral.
UGCUUAUGACAAAUAAAUCACGAUAUGAA